Molecule: transfer RNA, 75 nt
Filed under: Streptosporangiaceae bacterium
Lineage: Bacteria; Bacillati; Actinomycetota; Actinomycetes; Streptosporangiales; Streptosporangiaceae
Also listed under: 2 other names
Description: tRNA-Pro
Rfam family: tRNA
About the family: Transfer RNA (tRNA) molecules are approximately 80 nucleotides in length.
Source: RNAcentral
CGGGAUGUAGCGCAGCUUGGUUAGCGCGCCUGCUUUGGGAGCAGGAGGCCGCGGGUUCGAAUCCCGCCAUCCCGA